This 74-nucleotide transfer RNA is filed under the name Dysalotus oligoscolus. RNAcentral's name for it is "tRNA-Lys". It matches the Rfam family "tRNA". Rfam says of the family: Transfer RNA (tRNA) molecules are approximately 80 nucleotides in length. Their secondary structure includes four short double-helical elements and three loops (D, anti-codon, and T loops). The record is from RNAcentral. Lineage: Eukaryota; Metazoa; Chordata; Actinopteri; Scombriformes; Chiasmodontidae.
CGUUAAGAAGCUAAAAUGGGUAUAGCAUUAGCCUUUUAAGCUAAGGAUUGGUGACUCCCAACCACCCCUAACGA